ACUCAGCAAACGCCCGGCUUCAAGAGGCCUCAGAGAGCCAGGGGAGCGAGCUUCCAGCCUGAAGAACAAGCUGUUGUUGCUGUUUAUCAAGGGAGAGCAGAUACAUCAGUGUCUUCUGACAGAAAAAGUGAUCGCCAUCAGGAUGGUGAUGACCACGAUGAUCCCUAGGAUGACGAGCAGGAUGCGGUUCUGGAUGAUUCUAGGAGACAGCAAAGGAGAAAAAACACACACAGAUAAGUGGAAGGCCUUCCCACAAACGCCGUCCGAGGCCAGGUUGGCUAAUCAAACGGCAGCUUUGCAGGUGGGGGUGGGGAGCGUGUGUGUGUGUGUGUGUGUGUGUGUGUGUGUGCGCGCGCGAAAGAGACAUCACGCAGCUUUCUGGUUCUACAAACGAUCCACGAGGAAACGAAAGGCUCCACAUGAUUGUCACGCUGCCCUCCGAGAAAUGCUUACUGCAAAGCUAAGGCGAAUCAAAUGGCUUUCGAGGCUCAGAAAAUCAUGUAGCCUCUUUAAGUGAUCAAGGGCCCCUUGCGAGCUUCUCUUUCUAAUUUAAAAGGCGAGACAAGCCUCAUUUUUUGCAGUGUUUCCUGUUAAAGUAAAAUACUCCAAGGAAACACAUGUCAGCAAUGUACUUACCUGCACAAAAAUACCUGGGGAAAAGUAAAACAGAGACUAAGGAAGAAAAGGAUGGGAUUAAGAAACAAGUGUCAAAUGUGCAGCUUAGGCUGUGAAACCAUCAUCUGUCAGUGUGGCUCACGCUCCGUUACGCUAGGAGGAAACGUUACAUUUGCUCCAUAGCAAAAAAGAUGGAAAUGAGAAAUAUACAAUGUACUCAAGGUGCCUGUUGUGCGUCUGUUGCUGGGCCUUUACCUCCAGGGAUUCUACCUCCCUGGGUUCUGGCUGGGCUGCACGCUGAUGGGGAACCAGCAACUUAGAAGGGGGACCAGAGUGGAGACACACGCUCCCAGAUGCCUGCAGAGAGCUUCUGAUGAGGUUGUUUCAUAAUUUGUUACCUCAUUCGGAGAAAAGAGGUCGAACAUCAGAAUGCUUUGUUGAGAGUUUCAAAGGGAACCUAGGUCAAACAGCCGUGCCCACGCUCGCUCUCACAGAGCUGCACGGAAAUAGAGACAUGAGCUGGCUGGCAGUCUAGCCAGCUAUCUGUCCAGCUUAAAACCCCACGGCAAACCCCAUCCAACCCUCCUCCAAAUACCAAGCAGCAAAAGGCCUGCUGCCCUACUCCAGUCACCAAACACUGGACAUGGGUCUUCCAUGGGGAGGAGCUGGGGAGAUGAAGCUGGGCUCCCCACGGAACAGAGACCCCACACCCCUACUUUGUAUCUUCACACACAAAAAAAUCUUUGCAGGGUAUUUUCUACUUCCUAGAUGAGUUUAUUUCCUGGAAGGAUGACAUCAGGUUGUAGUUUUAGUCAGAUUCCUCCUCACCCAUCCCCUUCUUCUCCAAACCUAAACGGUUGAAUGGAAACUGUCUUAUCAGACCAACCCACUCCCUCGUGGCCCCCUAAAAGGACGAGCUCUCUCUCCUCCUGACAGGUAACAAAAUGAUCACAUUUGCUGACACGUCUUCCGCAAAACUGCCUUAGUGCCUCUGUCCACUCUCCUCGCAGGAGAUGAAUGGUCCACUUGGUCCUCAUUUAUCACUCAAGGCUUGGCUAAGAUCUGUCUCGUUUAGUUCUUCCCUUCCCCACUAGAAAGUCUGCACUCCGACAUUAAUUCUUCUGUGAUGACAGCUAAUUCAGACUUAACAGGCCACACUUACUCAAGAGGCAGGAAGAUUCUCUGUCCCCCAAAUAAAUAAAUAAAAACAGGACUUCAUGGCUUAUGAUAGUGAGGCUAAUUAUCAACACUGAUCGGUGCUACUUGGUGGCUCUGUUUAAAACCCAAAUUGAUUUUUUCCCCCUUUUCUCUGGGAGGGACAGGAGCCUUCAGAAUGGUCCCUACACAUCCCAUUUGCCCAAGUCACUGUCAAAAUCUCUAUUUACCACAGUCACCCGCAUCAGACUUGCAAAGGAAAUCAGCAAAAUUGAAACUCAGCAGUGAAACAGAUUAAAAGCAUGAAAACUCUUUAAAAUUCUGCCUUAAGUAAUCUACAGUAGUGUGUCUCUUGUACAGCUUGGUUGACAACCAUUUUAUUUGUGGGUUGAGGGCCCCAAGGCAUCCAUGAUGCUAAUUUAGAAAGGAUUAACUGUGGGUGUUACUUGUUCAAUCUGAGGCAUGGUAAGAAAUAUGAAUACACAGGAAUCCUUAAAUCCUCAGCUCUUCCCUAACCUUCCUAAUUGGGCUUCACCCCCUCCUUGGUGCACCCACAGGGCCUGGUGGCUUCCCCUCCACCGCCCGCUCUGUUGCUUCCAAGGGCCCAACCUGUGUGGACUGGGACCAUGUGGAAUUCACCUCUACCACCCCAGCACAUGGCACAGUCGCGUUGCACACAGGUACUCAAAAGAGAACUGCCCAAAGAGUGAUCGUGAAAGAAUGCAGUCUCUGGUAACUGUAAUCUUCCAUUCAAAGGAGAAUGGAGAAGUCUGUGCAAUUAAUUUGCAGGAAAAUCUCAGGAAGUCUGCAUGGAAAAGGUUAAAGUUCAAAGUUGAAGCAAGCCCCGUCAAAGAUGAAACUUCCUACCAUCACGCCUUCUCAGCACUACUUGGUCUUCCCCCUGAAGCUAGAAGGAACUCCUUUGUGCUGGGUGGGGGCGGGGUGUCAGCAGGAAAGGGCAUUUGCUUUCAAACCAAAUGCUGGCAGACAUUUGGGAGGAAGAGUAGAAGGGGAUGGGGAAAGAGUUGGAAUAGAGAGAGCUCUAAGCAAGCUUGACUGGCUGGGCCAUCCACCCCAACCUUGGACCUCAAAGGAGUUGUGCAAAUGUGAUACCCCUCAGGACCAGAAAAGUGAACUGUCAGGGCAUCUGGGUGGAUAGGACUGAGCCAGUUUGGAAGGGGGAAAUACAGGCUGGCAUUGGUGGGCCCCAUCUGUGAGGAAGCUUAGUUGCAAUCGCAGCCAGGGGCUGCCGGCCUGUAUUGCUGUAGGCAAAGCAGAAAGGAAUGCAGAGCUCGGAGACAAUCAGAAAAACCAGCUAGGCCAAGGGGUUCCCAGCUAGUGAGAUGGCAGCGAAGGAACUUGGGGAGAAGCCCAAAGUAACUUCCUCCUAACUUUGGGCAAGGGGAGGGCUUUAUGUUGAACUAGGUCUGCAGCAAGCCGUCUUAAUCUCCCUUUUGAAAAUGCAAAGUGUGUUUACCCAGUAAAUAAUUUAAGAAAGAAUAUACACUUGAAAGAAGACAUCCAUUGAAACAGCCAGGCUAAAUUGCCUCCAGGCAAAAACUUGUGCAUUUGCAUGCUGCAUUCUAUUAAGUGAGCACACUGUGGCUUUAAAAGAAUGCAGAGCCAAAAUAAAAGGAAUGUGGGCCCGAAACAUCAAGGAUUCUCCAAGUUUACAUUAUGAAUCACAGUGCUGUUGAUACAAGAUGAAUUAACCAUUUACUUUGAGGCUGAACUCACAAAGUACUAUUGAAAGUACUGAUCCCCAUGUGGAACUCAGGGAGCGGUUAAUCUUUCCAUUGCCAGUCUCCUCCCAGCCUGGAAACGAGCUCCUGCGUGUGGCAGCCGGAAUCACAGAAGGCUGGUUCCAGUGCAGGGGACAGGCGCGGCACUGCACCUGGCACAGUUCUCUGCUCUUGCUCGAGGAGCCCAGGAAUUCCACUGGAACAGGCAUUACGAGUGUUCUCCAAUAGCCAGUUCUCCUCUACUUCCAGGCAUGGACUGCACUCUUUUUUUUUUUUUUUUUUUUUUUUUUUUUGAGACGGAGUCUCGCUCUGUCGCCCAGGCUGGAGUGCAGUGGCGCAAUCUCGGCUCACUGCAAGCUCCGCCUCCCGGGCUCACGCCAUUCUCCCGCCUCAGCCUCCCGAGUAGCUGGGACUACAGGCGCCCGCCACCACGCCCGGCUAAUUUUUUUUGUAUUUUUAGUAGAGACGGGGUUUCACCGUGGUCUCUAUCUCCUGACCUCGUGAUCCGCCCGCCUCGGCCUCCCAAAGUGCUGGGAUUACAGGCGUGAGCCACCGCGCCCGGUCUGCACUCACCUUAAUGUUAGGCUUGGUCAUGGAACUAGCUUUGGCUAAAGAAAUGAGAGCAAAAGUUCUGAGUGUCACUGCCAGCUGGAGGCAUCUAACUUCCAGUGUUUGUCUCUCUAGCGGGCUCUUCCUGCGGUUUUGAUUUGGGGAGGGAGGGGCUGUAUUGUUCCAGAGAGUACAAGUUAUAGGAUGGUGGUAACAUCUUCUGCCUGGAUCCUGCAGUCAUUAUGUAAAGGGCCACUGUCCUGGAGAUGCACCUGGACUCCCAGUGGACUUGCGUUAAGCCAUUGAGGACUGGGGGUUGUCACUGCCGAAUACCAUAAGCUCUUUUACCCUGAGUGAUAACGCUACCGUCCGCCUCUCAGACAAGACGAGGCAUCUGGCCAAGCCAAGAGAGGCUCUGGUUUCAUGUAUUUCAGAAGCUAAGGUAUGAUGAAGACUGAUAAGAUUUUUUUUUUCUUGAAGAACAGGUUUUUGCCUCUUGGUUUUCAAAAGCUGGGAACCUCUUCUGACCUCUUGGUCACAACACUUUUCACUGAAGAAUCAGGAGCUUCUUCCAGCCAAUGCUCCUGUGUAUUGAUGACUGAUGAUAUCAUGCGUGAGGCCUCACCAGGCCUAGCCAGGCAUCCGCUUCCUGUGUACAGCAGAUCUACAGUGGCUGCGUUCGUUUCCCUAUUCCAAACAGCUGAUGCUACCCCAGCUCCAGGGGUACAGCUGUGACUGAGGCUGAGAUGGUCAGUACAUUCCAUGCCCCUGGCCAUGGUAACUGGACCAGGAGCAGGCUUGUGACUUAAGUCCAUCCAACAGAGUGGAUCUCAGCAACUUUGCUUGAAAUGCGGGGUCACCUGGACAGUUUGGUGUGUGGAUGUCAGGCUGGAUCCACUGCAGGCCUUUUGAUUCAUUGAGGGAAGCCAACCUAAGAAAGAAGCUGACCCACAGUGGGCAGAGAAAUAGAACCCCAGUCCUGAAGACAGAGAACUUUAAUUUUUAACUUUUUUUUUUUUUUUUUUUGAGAUGGAGUCAUUCUCUGUCUCCAGGCUGGAGUGCAGUGGUGCGAUCUCAGCUCACUACAACCUCCCCCUCCCAGGUUCAAGUGAUUCUCGUGCCUCAGCCUCCCAAGUACUUGGGAUUACAGGCACCUGCCACCAUGUCCAGCUAAUUUUUGUAUUUUUAGUAGAGAUGGGGUUUCACCGUGUUGGCCAACCUGGUUCCAAACUUCUGACCUCAGGUGAUCUGCCCAUCUUGGCCUCCCAAAGUGCUGGGAUUACAAGUGUGAGCCACCAUGCCAGGCCGACAGUGAACAUUUUUUUUUUUUUAAAUCAAACCACCCUUUCUUUGGACUUUAACUUAUAUGAGAAAAUAAACUGACUUUAUUUUCCAAAGUCAGUUUGAAUUGGGUUUUCUGUUAUUUAUGACCAAAAAGCAUUUUUAGGUUGAGUCACCCUGAUUCCAAAACCAGGUCCUUGAUCUACGGCAUAUGUGCAUUCUUCCCUCCUCUUCCAAGAGGCAUUUCCUGGCUAUGUCCCUCUCGUAUUCUCCUAUCUCCCUACACAUCUCUCUUUCCAGUACAUUGACUACAGUCCCCAGUAAAAAGUGGACCUUCCACAGUCCGAAUUUCUUUUGUCUUUUGUAUCCCUGAUGCCUAACACACAGCUUGGCAUAAAUGUUCUCAAAACAUGCUUGCUGAGUGAAGAAAUGAGAGACUCUACCUACACGUGCUCAGGGUCACGUGGUUAUUGCUCUCCUGGUUUCUAAGGACUGCUUGUAGAUAAGCACAGCUUUAGGACUUAGCUGUUAGCCACUGUCCCAUUAAGGAUGCCAGCGGAGUCCCAACUUUUUUACAAGCCUGUGUUCAUUAGCUGGAGAGUGGCAGACACUUUACAGGUUCAGAGCAGCAUCCUGUACCUGCCUUCCUGCCUGGCCGACUGGCCCUGAAUAACGAUGCCCCACUUUUGGGGUCUGACAGAACAGUAACAAUUAGCAACCGUGAGAGCAUAGGAUAAAUUCUGAGCAGAGGAACCCGGAUCUGCUUCUCUCUAGGCACUUCCCAAAACAUGGGCCAAGGGAAAGCUCUUUAAAUUCUAUAUCCAAUUCAACGUUACUAUUCACCAGAAAGAAAUGAAAACAGGAGUAGGAGAAACAGUUAAUUGUCAUCUGCCUCAAACACUCACUUUAAUUGGAAGGGUUAUUUUCAGAGCUGGGGACAUGUUUGCCUCUGAGCUAGAGCUGUGCGGUUAUCAUGCUGCCUGAUAAUGCCCAUCUUGGGUCUUCUAUGUCCUGCAUCUCUAGGAGUAAUCCUCAGCCCCAUCGCGAGAAUUCAGGGAGGCUGAUCCCACUCUGAUUCCACAGAUGGACAUAUGGCCCAGGCAGGCCCAGCCAAUGACAGCUCUCUAGCUCUUGCACUACCAUUUGCUCAAGGAUUGGUCUGCCACUCAAGCCAGAUGGAAUUCCUCUUGGGAUUCUUCCUGGAAAAUCAAGAAAAAGAUACUGUCUUUACUGAGAUUGACUGUCAGGACAGUGAGAACCUGGAGCUGCCAAGGACCAUUCUUACUACCAUACCGGACGAGGCUGCCUGAAAGAAGCCGACACCAGAGGAAUGCAGAGCCGAGAGAUAAAGAAAAAGAGACGGAUUCCUGAAGACAUAUUUGAACCCCUGCUUCCUGCUGUGUGCCUGAAACCUGAAGAGUCACACUUCAGCUUCCCAGUUACAGGAGCCAAACAAUUCCCCAUUGACUGCAGCAAGUAUGGUUGGGGAUUCUCUCGCUUUCUUUUUUUUUUUUUUUUUUUUGAGAUGGAGUCUCGCUUUGUCGCCCAGGCUGGAGUGCAGUGGCGCAAUCUCAGCUCACUGCAACCUCCACCUCCCGGGGCCAAGUGAUUCUCCUGCCUCAGCCUCCUGAGUAGCUGAGAUUACAAGUGCUGCCACCACGCCCAGCUGAUUUUUGUAUUUUUAGUAGAGAUGAGGUUUCACCAUGUUUGCCAGGCUGUUCUUGAACUCCUGACCUCAGGUGAUCUGCCCACCUCAGCCUCCCAAAGUGCUGGGAUUACAGGCAUGAGGCACUGCACCCAGCCUCUUACUUUAAAUCAUACUGAUUGUACUGGAUUGAACAGUGUCCCUGCAAAUUCAUGAGGUUCCACCUGGAACCUCAGAAUGUGAUCUUAUUUGGAAAUAGGGUCCUUUUUAUUUUUUAUUUUUAAGAGACAGAGUCUUGGCCUAUUGCCCAGGCUGGAGGGCAGUGGUGCAAUCACAGCUCACUGCAGCCUUGAACGCUUGGACUCAAGUGAUCGUCCCACCUCAGCCUCCCAAGUAGCUGGGACUACAGGCAUGCACCACCGCACCUGGCUAAUUUUUAAAUUUUUUGUAAAGACAGGGUCUCACUAUGUUUCCCAGGCUGGUCUUGAUCUCCUGGCCUCAAGAGAUCCUCUUGCCUCGGCCUCCCAAAGUGCUGGGAUUACAGUCAUGAGCUCCAUGCUGAGCCACCACCAUGCCCAGCCUGGAAAGAAGGUCUUUGUGGAUGUGAUUCAUUAGAGAUCUUUUUUAUUUUUAUUUUUUAUUUUUUUUGAGACGGAGUUUCACUCUUGUUGCCCAGGCUGGAGUGUAAUGGUGCAAUCUUGGCUCACUGCAAUCUCCGCCUCCCAGGUUCAAGUGAUUCUCCUGCCUCAGCCUCCCAAGUAGCUGUGAUUACAGGCGUGUGCCACCACGCCCAGCUAAUUUUGUGUUUUUAGUAGAGAUGGGGUUUUACCAUGUUGGCCAGGCUAGUUUCGAACUCCUGACCUCAGGUGAUCCUCCUGCCUUGGCCUCCCCGAAGUGCUGGGAUUACAGGUGUGAGCCACCACAGCUGGACUUCAUUAAGGAUCUUGAGAGGAAAUCAUUCCAGAUUUAGGGUGGCCCUAAAUCCGAUGACUGGUGUCCUUAAGAGAGGACAAAGAGGGGCACGUGAAGAUGGAGGCAGAGACUGGAAUGAUGUUGCCACAUGCCAAGGAAUGUUGGGCCACCAGAAGCUGCAAGAGGCAAAGAAGAAUUCUUCCCUUACACUUUUGGAGAGAGCAUCGCCCUGUCAACUCCUUAACUUCAGACUUCUAGUCUUCGCAACUAUGAGAGAAUAAGUGCAUUUAAGCCAUGUUGUUACGGCAGCCCUAGCAGCCCUGGAAAAUGAAUACACUGAGUGCUCGGAUCCAGACCAGCAUAUGGAGCUGGUGAUCUUAUCUUGGGUUUCGUGAUGACUGUUUUCCACGUCUCCACCUUCUUCCCCAUGGCUGCACUGCACAUUUACUGUGGAUCUACACUAAGAUCUCCUCCAAAGGACAGGUAAAUGCGUGAUCACCUGAUCCCUCACCAAAGAGUAUGAGACAGAAAGAAUGGCAAGUGUUCUCUGGGAGCUGCCAAUGACCUGGUACCACACGAUUUUUUAUUUUUACAUAACAUAUGGGUGAGGGGAUACACUAUAGAAAGAUUCAGGUCUGCUGAAGAUUUAUUGUAGUGGAUCUGUUGGAAUAGAGUUCUAGACAGAAAGAAAAUCAGAUGGAAGAACUAGCUAGACUCACUGUGCGAAUCUGGGAAAGGACUACGGGUCCUUGAGUUUCCCCAUCCACGAAAUGGUAAUAAAGGAAGCUCUCCCAAGUAUUUUCUGCGAGGGUUGUGAAGAGCAAUAUAACUUCCGGACAGUCUUAAAAAGAGAGUAUCUUUUUCUGGUUUAUUGCAUACAAGAUGUCAUUGAAUCUUUAUAAUUAUGUUAAGUAUUAGGACCUAGAUCUGAUGGCUCAGGCCUACCCAGGGAAAAGGCCAGGCCCACUCCAGAGGUGGCCGAAAGGUCUCAGCCCAGGGCAGACGUGAUUGGUGUCUGGGCCAGGAUGACCCCUCCCCAACCCCCAGCUUUAAGUACUCCUCACCCUCCCACCUCCUGCUGGCCAUCCUGGGAAGAUCUGCUCGAGAAGGUUCUCCACCCCCACUGGGUCCUAACCCUUUAUUGAGAAGCAAACUUACUGCUCUUCUGAACUAGUAACCCACCAAGCUCUUUUCUGAAGGUCCCUCAUCCUUUUCAGCCUCCAGAGAAGCCACAUACUACAUUCACGUGGAGGUUGAGCAACCACCCUCAUUUUUGGAGCCAAACUGCUUGGAUUCGAAUCUAGGAUCUACCACACACCAGUUGUACAGCAUUGGUUAAGUUACUGCAUUCCUUCUCUGAGAUUACAUCCUCUUGACUGUUUUAGUGUGAAAAUGAAAAUGUUCUUUAUUUAUGCAGUGAUAGUAGGAGAAGAUGUACCAGUGUCUUUCCUUGGACAUUAGAAAUGUAGUCUCUCAUUGGAAAUUACUCUUUCCUACUGGGCAAAAUAAAGAGUGAACAAUCUACCAUCAGGUCUCUAUGAAAGAAAACAGUACCAAUAUAAGGAAUUGGCACGCUCCAAAGAAUCAACGCUCUGCUUUCCCUCUAUUGGUAAAAUGGGGCCAAUAAUAGCAGCAUUCUGUUAAUGAAUUACAUUAGUAAAUAAAUGGCUUAAUUCAAUGUGAAGUGCUUAGAUCAGUGCCUGGCCAAUGGUAGUUGCUCAAUAAAUAACUAUAGGAACUAUUAUUACUCCACUCCUAUCAUACUCACCCAUCUCCCCACAUUACUUCUGGAAACUCCUCCUUGUCUGGCUGUACCCCCACAUGCAGGCAGCCUCCUGCCUCAGGUGCCUUGUUCUGAAAGCCUACAAAUCCCUUCUCAGAUUCCUGCAGAUGCCCAGGGCUCAACAGGGCACAUCUGGCCUUGGUCCUGAUUAGCUUGGAUUGUCCGGUCCAGGCUGAGCUACUCGCCUGGAAUCCCUGCCUUCAGCUCCUCUGCAGCUCUGUGAGCUUCUCUGGGGAUACUCGUUGACGGCCAAGAUGCCUCUCCUGGAACAUAUUGGUGAAGACUCGGCUGCCUUGGCUUUUGUGAUGGGCUUUAUUUUCCUCUAAGAUCUGACAUUCGAUACUUACCACUUAAUAGUCAUUUAUUUAACACCUUUUUCUUUCCUGAUGUCAGGAAGGACAAACAUUUUGGCAGAGGCUUAUCAGCCACCUGCAUCUCUGCCAACUUUUGAGGGAUGUGGUUACGUUUUCUAGAUCCUAACAUCAGAACUCUCUCUCUCUCUCUCUAACAUCAGAACUCUCUCUCUCUCUCUCUCUCUGGGCUCCAGGGCCACUGCUCCUUGUCUAGUCCCCCCAGCCCAGGUGGAGGGGUGCCCUGCUGUGGCUAAGCCCUGGGCUGCUCUGUUUUCUUAGUUGGACACUGAAUGAGACCGCUGCAGAGUGUGCUGUCUAUUCAAACUUGUGAUAUCUCCUUCAUAAUCUUAAACUGACUUCACAUACCCCAAAGCAGCAUUAAUCAGAUCUGCGCAGGUGAACUCUGGGUUCUUAGGCUGGGAGGAGGGUGGGGUGGGGUAACGAUCAGAUAACAGAGCCCCCAGGUUUGUGCAGGUGAAGCCACAUCACCUGCCAGCCUGGGAAGACAUAUCCUUCCCUCUAACCAAGGAAGAAAGUCCUGUGAGGGUGGGGGAGAUCCAGUCUGCAGGCUGUAGGCAUCAGGGGCAGGGACUGGGAGAACAGGGGCAUCUGCCCUUUUUCUAAAGCGAGGGGCUGCUGCUGACUGCUGCUGGGACUGAGACCUUCUGAUUUACCAAGAUAAGCCAGAAAUGGUGUUCUCUUUGUGAAAUCUCCCAAGUUUUAAAUAUUGGCAACAAAGUCAAAGUUUUCCAAAACACUGGAUGGCCAAAGAAAGCACAUCUGUGGGGUAGACUCACCCUGUGGGCCUUCAGUCUGCGACCUCUGACUAGUUACUAAGGAAGAAAUUAAAAGGAAGAGGGAGUGGUGGUGAGCGCAUCCCUGCCUUACCCUCCUGGAGAUUCCCUUGGAGGCAGGAAAAGCCCAGCCCUCUUGACCCCUGCGGCUCUCAGAAGCCUGAAGUUCAGCCUCUGUGGCAGCAUCAAUAACUAGGGUCUACACUGAGAUCAUCCAACUUAGCCCAUAACCGAUUCCUAACCGUGGAGUCAAAGGCCAGGGAGGGGUCAACAGGAGCCAGAAACCAGCCUGUGCGCGCCUCAUGGACUCUCACGAGAAGCAUAAGCAGAGAUCAGGGCUGGACCACACAUCUGCAGCCCCCUGACCUUGGCAUGGUCUGCAGCACGUGGCUGGAAAAGCCCAGCUGGUGACUCUAGGGGAGGAUGGUGUGCAUUUUCUAUGCAGCGUGUUAUAGGUCAGGAGGCCUGGAAUGGGAAAGCCAGAGGUCUCUCUUGGAGGAUGAGGAGCAAAGGCAGCCUUGUAGGGUUGCCUCUACUUACAAUUUGCUGUGUGAUCUUCCGGAGAACAAAUAGUGCCUCAGUUUAUCCAUCUUUAAAAUGGCAGUAAACAUAUGAGAACCCAGCACCCUUGAGGAUGGGCACCAAGAACCGUAUUUGUGGAUUUGAUGAAGAUAAAGAAAACUAGUUGCCAAGGAGUAGUGUGGCCUUUGAUCACUCUCUCAGGUCCUGUAUUUGGCAGCAAUGAGUAGGAAAAUCACCCAUGAAUUAGGAGGGAUCUUCAUACAGACUAAGUCAAAAGGCAGCCUGUGUCUUGCAAAGAGACAGCGACCUUUCACUCUGUCAUUCUUUGGGGACACUCCCUUCAAGCUCCCUGGCCUUAAUUUUCACAGAUGAGGGUGAUAUCUGACCCCCUAAUUAGUUACUAGACAACACGAUGGCCCCUAAGUACCAAUAAUAAGGUGUUUCCACUCCAGGUCCUCAGCAAAGGGAACAACCUGAAAUUCUCUCCUGUGGAAGACGUGUUGAAAGCCCAACUGAGAGACAGUGUUGGCUGAGGAGCCUAGUGAACUGGGGUCCACCUCUCCUGCUGGAGGCUCUGAAGUCGACCCUGGAGCAGCAGAGCCCCCUGAGGGUCCCACCUGCACAGCAUUGCUUUGGUUCACAGCCGCACUGACCUAACACCGCCAGCCUGAGGAAAGGAGGAUGGUCAGAGCGCCCUGCAGGGCUCACUGUGCUCCCUGGAAGGAAGCUUUGGAGCCUGGUGUUUACUAACCUGCACAGUGUGUGUCCCUGCGAAGAGGUCCCACGACAAAGUGUUCUCUCUCAUCAGAGCAGGGGAAAAGGCUGAGUUUCUAUCUCACAGAUACUGACUCACGUAGCUGAAACAAUUGCCCUCUCCAAGUCAGCUGCCAGAACGCUCAGAGAGAAAUCUGUGGGCCACCUCUUACAAAUGUAUAGGCGAUUCCACAGUUUGUGUACUAGCCUCCCCGUUACUUCUUUUGUAAAUAUUCAAUCUUAUUGUGUUGCAUAUAUUUAGGUAAAUGCUCUAAUUCCUUUUGGGACCAAGACAGGUUCAUACACAGGCACUAAAAAGGUGAGAAAACAAACAAACAAAAAAUCCUCACGUCAUCACAGAUUGGCUACUUUAAUGAUUCUGCCUUUAGUUUCCCUCCUAUCCCCAAAAAUUCUGUAUCAUAUCAUACUUGGAAUAUGAGUUUUCACAUUUACCAAAAUAAUAGGGUAUCUUAAUUUUUUUUUUUCUUGAAUCUCCUUUCAUGGCCAGCAUAGAGAGGUUUCUAGAAUGAACCCAAACUUGGGACUCGGGGCCCCUGGGCUCCUCCUGUAGCCAACUGCAGUGGAUGGUGGGUCCCCUUUGUUUGGGGGAUUUACAGCAAUUGUCUUAACGACAUGGACCUCUUUUGUGAAAGCUGCAGGCGUUCCCAGCAAAUGUUGGCUGCAAAUACACUAGCCGGGAUGUUGCCACGGUCACGGCCCUUCCUCGAACAAUCUAAAGCAUAUUUCUCUCUGUAUAUAUUUGUUUUUUUAGAUGCUUUAAAGCCUGGAAAACAAUCAUAGCUGAGGCCAUUUCUGAGAUGGCACUAAAAGAACCUACUCGGAGACAGAUAAAAAUAAUGAGAAUCUUUCUGUCAGGAAAGAUUUAGAAAAUAUCACUGGCAUUAUUAAAAUUUAAUUUUUUACUCCGCUUUUUGGUUCCCCUUUCCAGUGAUAAUGAGCAGGACUGCACACCUCCGCCUUGCUAGUACUUGUUUUGUGCAAUAAAUUCAGCCUUCCAGUCUGAAGACAUUUCAGACAACAGUUUUGACUGCUAUAGGCUUAUUUUUUACCCUGUGCUAUGCUUUGAGUCUUCCUAUAAAAACCAGUUCAUGAGAUAAUUUUCCACAAGGCCAGUGGAACUAAUAAAAAUCAAUUUUGCCCAACUGGUUCAGAGAAAUCUUGGGAAUAGCCAAGGCAGAACUGCAGAAAGGGGGAAAAAAAGGAUCAAUGUAUUCACUAAUGGUUUACUUGAUAGAGAACUAUCAAAUUAGCUGACAGGAGACGCUUGGCUGUAGGAAAUUUCCUUUCAGCCUAAACAGAAUGCCUUUUACAGGCCCAGGAAGAACUUUUCCCUCCCAGGGUUUGAAGAUACUCUAGUAUAGUGAUUCUUCCAAGGACUUGCCCACACCAGGGCCAACCUGGGGCCUGACAGAUGGUGGCCUCUGCUUGUCCAGAACCUCUUUUAUAUGAGAGGAGCCAGUUUUGUGAAGAGGUGGGCUGCAUUUUACUUGAAUUGCUCUUAGACCACGAGAUCAGUGGGUUGGGAAUUCAUCAGUUCACUUGGAUGCCUUAGGUUCUUGAGACCUUCUCACACCCCUUGCAGACACAUGACAGCCUUCUUUUUUUUUUUUUUUUUUGACGGAGUCUUGCUCUGGGGCCCAGGCUAGAGUGCAGUGGCUCAAUCUCGGCUCACUGCAACCUUGGCCUCUGGAGUUCAAGUGAUUCUCCUGCCUCAGCCUCCCGAGUAGCUGGGAUUACAGGUGUCUGCCACCAUGCCUGGCUAAUUUUUUUAAAAACAUUUUUUAGUAGAGACAGGGUUUCAUCGUGUUGGCCAGGCUGGUCUCGAACUCCUGACCUCAGGUGAUCUGCCCACCUUGGCCUCUCAAAGUGCUGGGACUACAGGGGGCAGCCACCGCGCGUGGCCCCGUGACAGCUUUUAGAUCCCCCAUAUUGGCUUCUUGGCAAUCCAAGUGGGAUUUCAAGGGGGCACCUCUUUUAUAAUCAGAACACAAGGCUUAACGACUGUCUAGCUUUCAUUAGUUCAAAACACUAGUUGAACUAACAGCAAGUCUUUGCACAGAAAGAAAAAGAACUGGAAGGAAACGCAGCCAAGUGUUAAUGGUGUUUAUACUCGGGUGGUGGGUGUUUUUUCUAUCUUUAUGUAUUUCUACACUUUCUUGAAUUACCGUAUCUUAUUACAUAUAUAAUAAUUAUUUAAAAUAAUGCUAAACUAAAAAUUCAGUAUAUUGAAUAAAAGAAACAUAAUAGACUAAUUUAUUCACAGUGUUAUAAGAGAGUAAGAGGGGGCUGGGCGCAGUGGCUCAUGCCUGUAAUUAAGCACUUUGGGAGGCCGAGGUGGGCGGAUCACCUGAGGUCAGGAGUUAGAGACUAGCCUGGCCAAUAUAUAGUGAAACCCUGUCUCUACUAAAAAUACAAAAAUUAGCUGGGUGCGCUGGCACAUGUCUGUAGUCUCAGCUACUUGGGAAGCUGAGGCAGAAGAAUUGCUUGAACCCAGGAGGCAGAGGCUGCAGUGAGCUGAGACUGUGCCAAUGCACUGCAGCCUGGGUGACAGAGCAAGACUGUCUCUCAGAAAAAAAAAAAAAAAAAAAGAGUAAUAGGGAAUGUGUAGGAGAAAAAAGAACAAGGGUAAAAAUUAUUUAAAAAUUUUUUUUAGUGACUUCUACUAUCCUAAGUCCUUCACUCAAAUUAUUUUAUUUAAUCCUCAUACCAAAUCUAUGGCAAAGGUGUCAAUGUUCCCAUUUUCCAGAGGAGGAGACUGAGGCUUAGAGAGUUAAGUUAGCCAAGAUCACACAGCUAGUUGGUGGAAAAGCUGGUAUUUAAAAUCGGAUCUGAUGUCAAAGACCACAUGCAAUACAACAGUGAGGAAAAUAACAAGUCACAGAAUGUCUUGCUUUCUAGCUGUAGUUCCAAACGGCUAUGAUGCCAGGUGAGUCACUUUGCAUUUAUGAUUAAAGUCAGGGACAACAACAUCUGUCCUUUUUUCCUAUCUCAUGGGUUCUUGUGAUGCUGAAAUUAGAUCACACGUGUAAAAGAAGAGAAAACGCAAUGUCCUCCUCAAAGGAAUAUGGUAAUAUGAUAAUAUUUCAUAUAAUAUCGGUGAGUUGAGGGUUGUCACGAAUGCUCUUUGGGUACUGAUAAUUUUCAAAGAAAAACUUAUACAAAAGCAGAAUUAUUAUUAAGACUAUAUUGAAUAAAUUUGUUUUUGAUGAUUCAGAAAGUUUAACAGAAUCUGACCCUAUCCUAGUCAUCAUUAGGACCACUAAUUUUCUUGCUGAUAAUAUAUUAUGUAAAAAGCAAGGGUUACAAAUAGUACGUAUAGUAUGAUCUGAAUUUUGCAAAAACUACAUAUAUAAAUGUAAAACAGAAAUCGGAAAGAUAUACAUUGAAAUGUAAAUAAUGAUUGUGUCUAGGCGUUGGGAUCAUAAUUUUAAUUUUUUAUUUAUUAUUUUAUUUUAUUAUUAUUUUUUAGAGGCAGAGUCUCACUCUGUUGCCCAGGCUGGAGUGCAACAGCGUGAUUAUAGCUCAUUGCAACCUCAACCUCCUGGGCUCAAGCAGUCCUCCCACCUCAGCCUCCUGAGUAGCUGGGACCACAGGCAUGCAUGACCACACCUGGCUAAUUUAUUUUUUGUAGCAAUGGGGUCUUACUCUACUGUCCAGGCCGGUCUCGAACUCCUGGCCUCAAGUGAUCUUCCCACCUAGCCUCCCACAGUGCUGGGAUUACAGGCAUGAGCCAAUGCGCCUGGCCAGGAUCAUGAUUUUUUAAAAAUCUCUGAUUUUUUGAAUUUUACAAUUUUUUUUUGCAUUUUGCAUUUUGAUUUGAAUUUUGCAAAUUUUGGGGUAAUAAAUAUGUACUGUUUCUAUAAUCAGAAAAUAUGAUCCAGCCCCCUCUUCCCCACAGUACAAAAACAUCACCUUUUUCCUUGAAUAAAAC
This 16056-nucleotide long non-coding RNA is filed under the name Homo sapiens (human). RNAcentral describes it as "non-protein coding lnc-ZDHHC6-8:2". Lineage: Eukaryota; Metazoa; Chordata; Mammalia; Primates; Hominidae. The record is from RNAcentral.